AACCUACCCUUGGGACGGGAACAACCUCGGGAAACUGAGGCUAAUUCCCGAUAGGCGAGGGACGCUGGGAUGCUUCCUCGCCCAAAGCUCCGGCGCCCAGGGAUGGGACUGCGGUCUAUCAGGCUGUUGGUGGUGUAACGGACCACCAAACCUACGACGGGUACAGGCGAUGGGAGUCGGAGCCUGGAGAUGGGGACUGAGACAAGGCCCCAGGCCCUACGGGGCGCAGCAGGCGCGAAAACUCCGCAAUGCGCGAAAGCGUGACGGGGGAAUCCCAAGUGCCGUUGGUCUAUUGAUCGGCGGCUUUUCGAGAGUCUAAAUAGCUCUUGGAAUAAGGGCCGGGCAAGUCUGGUGCCAGCCGCCGCGGUAACACCAGCAGCCCAAGUGGUGGUCGCGAUUAUUGGGCCUAAAGCGCUCGUAGCCGGGCUAGCAAGUCCUUUGUGAAAUCGGGCGGCCUAACCGUUCGGCUUGCAAGGGAUACUGUUGGUCUCGAGGCCGGGAGACGUCUGAGGUACUCUGGGGGUAGCGGUGAAAUGCUCUAAUCCUUGGGGGACCA
This 556-nucleotide ribosomal RNA is filed under the name uncultured archaeon. RNAcentral's name for it is "bacterial SSU rRNA". It matches the Rfam family "Archaeal small subunit ribosomal RNA", at positions 106 to 659 of the family's 1478-position model. The record is from RNAcentral.